GUGACGCUCCCCCGAAGGUUAAGCUAUCCACUUCUGGUGCAAUCAACUCCCAUGGUGUGACGGGCGGUGUGUACAAGGCCCGGGAACGUAUUCACCGCGGCAUUCUGAUCCGCGAUUACUAGCGAUUCCUACUUCAUGGAGUCGAGUUGCAGACUCCAAUCUGGACUACGAUAGGCUUUUUGAGAUUCGCAUCACAUCGCUGUGUAGCUGCCCUCUGUACCUACCAUUGUAGCACGUGUGUAGCCCUGGUCGUAAGGGCCAUGAUGACUUGACAUCGUCCCCGCCUUCCUCCAGUUUGUCACUGGCAGUAUCCUUAGAGUUCCCGGCUUAACCCGCUGGUAACUAAGGACAAGGGUUGCGCUCGUUGCGGGACUUAACCCAACAUCUCACGACACGAGCUGACGACAGCCAUGCAGCACCUGUAUUCUAAUUCCCGAAGGCACUCCCGCAUCUCUGCAGGAUUCUAGAUAUGUCAAGACCAGGUAAGGUUCUUCGCGUUGCAUCGAAUUAAACCACAUGCUCCACCGCUUGUGCGGGCCCCCGUCAAUUCAUUUGAGUUUUAACCUUGCGGCCGUACUCCCCAGGCGGUCUACUUAUUGCGUUAGCUGCGUCACUAAGUCCUCAAGGGACCCAACGACUAGUAGACAUCGUUUACGGCGUGGACUACCAGGGUAUCUAAUCCUGUUUGCUACCCACGCUUUCGAGCCUCAGUGUCAGUAUUAUGCCAGAAGGCUGCCUUCGCCAUCGGUAUUCCUCCAGAUCUCUACGCAUUUCACCGCUACACCUGGGAAUUCUACCUUCCUCUCACAUACUCUAGCUCAACAGUUUCAGAU
RNAcentral lists this ribosomal RNA (833 nucleotides) under Psychrobacter sp. ZB2179. Its description in RNAcentral is "partial 16S ribosomal RNA". The record is from RNAcentral. Lineage: Bacteria; Pseudomonadati; Pseudomonadota; Gammaproteobacteria; Moraxellales; Moraxellaceae.